UCUCCUGCGGCGGAAGCACGGUGCGCUGGUUACGAGCGCUGAACAAGCACGGCUCUUUAUUGUCACGUAAGCGGCGAGGAGACGCUGGGGAAACCGUAUCUGAUGGGAAAACGCGAAUCAACGUAACACCUGUAUCUAUCCUUAGCAACGGUACCUGCUGGCCAAUGAGAUGAGCCGAAAUAUUCUGUCAGCUCAUUGGUCACAGAGCAGAUAUGGCUGGGACGGUUGGCAACUCUAGUCGCCGCUGAUCUGCUGGAAACAGGCGGCAGACUAAACCAGCAUAACUGCACUUGGAGAGACAGUCGUUGUUCCACUGAGAGAAUAGUCCCAAACAGCCUUCAUCUUGGAGAAGUAGUGGUAAUACGUCACCACGUAGGUGAUGACAGACUUCUCAUCAGGAUGAUCCACACUUAUAUCUGCAACAGAGACAGACCAACAUCAGAUCACCAAGGUUCUAUGAAUCAGAACGUUACACAUGUUGGAAAGGAAAGUGCUGAAGAGGGCAUCAUCCUGAGUCCACCUGCACCAGUAUGAAACAAACAAAGAUCUUACUUGGAAACGCAGGAUGAUGGUCCAGAUCAGGCCCAGUGUGAGUCGGUGGUUCCCAUCCACAAUGUCAUGGGAUCCC
Long non-coding RNA from Girardinichthys multiradiatus, 628 nucleotides. RefSeq lists it as uncharacterized. Lineage: Eukaryota; Metazoa; Chordata; Actinopteri; Cyprinodontiformes; Goodeidae. The record is from RefSeq and is a predicted model, not a curated record. The transcript is spliced from 4 exons.